This 472-nucleotide ribosomal RNA is filed under the name uncultured bacterium. RNAcentral describes it as "SSU rRNA". It matches the Rfam family "Bacterial small subunit ribosomal RNA", at positions 26 to 518 of the family's 1533-position model. The record is from RNAcentral.
AGGAUGAACGCUGGCGGCGUGCCUAACACAUGCAAGUCGAACGUCCUGUCUCGCAAGAGGCAGGGAGUGGCGGACGGGUGAGUACCACGUGGGUUAUCUACCGUGAGGUGAGGAAUACCGGCGAGAAAUCGCCGACAAGACCGCAUAGCCUCGGUGCAAGCCGAGGAAAGCUUUCUCGAGAGAGGGAGCGCCACACGAGGAGCCUGCGCCCGAUUAGCUAGCUGGUGGAGUAACGGUUCACCAGGGCGACGAUCGGUAGCUGGUCUGAGAGGACGAUCAGCCACACUGGGAUUGAGAACGGCCCAGACUCCUACGGGGGGCAGCAGUGAGGAAUUUUCGUCAAUGGGGGCAACCCUGAACGAGCAACGCCGCGUGCAGGAGGAAGGUUUUCGGAUCGUAAACUGCUUUUCUCGGGAAGAGAACGGACGGUACCCGAGGAAUCAGCCCCGGCUAACUACGUGCCAGCAGCCGC